GCGGAGGAAAAGAAACCAACAGGGAUUGCCCUAGUAACGGCGAGUGAAGCGGCAACAGCUCAAAUUUGAAAUCUGGCUUCGGCCCGAGUUGUAAUUUGCAGAGGAAGCUUUAGGCGCGGCACCUCCUGAGUCCCCUGGAACGGGGCGCCACAGAGGGUGAGAGCCCCGUAUAGUUGGAUGCCUAGCCUGUGUAAAGCUCCUUCGACGAGUCGAGUAGUUUGGGAAUGCUGCUCAAAAUGGGAGGUAAAUUUCUUCUAAAGCUAAAUACCGGCCAGAGACCGAUAGCGCACAAGUAGAGUGAUCGAAAGAUGAAAAGCACUUUGAAAAGAGGGUUAAAUAGCACGUGAAAUUGUUGAAAGGGAAGCGCUUGUGACCAGACUUGCGCCGGGCUGAUCAUCCGGUGUUCUCACCGGUGCACUCUGCCCGGCUCAGGCCAGCAUCGGUUCUCGCGGGGGGAUAAAGGCCCUGGGAACGUAGCUCCUCCGGGAGUGUUAUAGCCCGGGGCGGAAUGCCCUCGCGGGGACCGAGGUUCGCGCUCUGCAAGGAUGCUGGCGUAAUGGUCAUCAGCGACCCGUCUUGAAACACGGACCAAGGAGUCAAGGUUUUGCGCGAGUGUUUGGGUGUAAAACCCGCACGCGUAAUGAAAGUGAACGUAGGUGAGAGCUUCGGCGCAUCAUCGACCGAUCCUGAUGUUCUCGGAUGGAUUUGAGUAGGAGCGUUAAGCCUUGGACCCGAAAGAUGGUGAACUAUGCUUGGAUAGGGUGAAGCCAGAGGAAACUCUGGUGGAGGCUCGCAGCGGUUCUGACGUGCAAAUCGAUCGUCAAAUCUGAGCAUGGGGGCGAAAGACUAAUCGAACCAUCUAGUAGCUGGUACCGCC
Molecule: ribosomal RNA, 877 nt
Filed under: Acrophialophora fusispora
Lineage: Eukaryota; Fungi; Ascomycota; Sordariomycetes; Sordariales; Chaetomiaceae
Description: eukaryotic LSU rRNA
Rfam family: Eukaryotic large subunit ribosomal RNA
Source: RNAcentral